Molecule: ribosomal RNA, 459 nt
Filed under: Triticum aestivum (bread wheat)
Lineage: Eukaryota; Viridiplantae; Streptophyta; Magnoliopsida; Poales; Poaceae
Description: partial small subunit ribosomal RNA
Source: RNAcentral
AUGUUGCACGGAGUGAGCCGACACCGCCGUAAAAAAUGGGUCAACGACGGUCAACGACACUCCUCAACUCUAUUCCCGUUCGUCACCCAGCUCAACAGUCCACCUCGGUGCUCCACCACUGGUCCCUUGAAGAGCUGGCUGCAAGCCGUCCAUUGCUCCGCCCCUAGAUGCUGCCAUGUGGUGGUUGGCCGUCUCACUCCAAUGCACCUCCCUAUUUUUGUGCACUGGUCUCUCUCAAGACUGGAAGUUAUCCCUGAUGUACUCAACACAAGUUCAACAUCAUCAUCUAAAAAGGAAGCAAAAAAGAAAAUCUAUUUACUCAGGGAUGCAGACAAAUUUCCGGAGCACAAUAGACUCAUCGGCGCAUCAGCGACCAUUCAUUCAACAACAGUUCAAUUACAAAAAGAACAUCAGUUCAAGAAAAUAUAUGCAAGAGGAGGUUCAAAGAUGGUCAUGUAG